CAGGAAAGGGGCCGAGGAUGUCAACUCCCCAUUGUUCAAACGGGGCCGAACAGUUAAUGUUGGUGAGGUCNUACUUCUUCCAAGAGAUCAAGAUGUUCAGUUGUAUGCUCCGAGGUUUCUGGCACGAGCCUCCUAUGGCUUGGCAGUCUAAUUUCCACUGGGACCAUUGCUUCAAUGCCAUAGGCUAACAUAAAAGGGGUUUCUCCUGUGGUUGUCCUAUGAGUUGUUCUAUACGUCCAAAGUAUAGAAGGCAGCUCGUCGGACCAAGAACCCCUAGCAUCGCUUAUUCUUGUUCGGAGGUCUUGCAAUAUGAUUCGAUUUGUUACCUCGGCCAGACCGUUGCUCUGAGGAUGCGAAACUAAUGUCAGACGGUGAUCAAUCCCAAGGUUUGAGCAAAAGUUUCUAAACUGUUGAUUGUCAAAUUGCCUGCCAUUGUCGGUGAUGAGGACCUUUGGUAUCCCAAACGUGCAAAUGAUAGACCUCCAAGUGAAGGCUCUUAGCUUGGGCUCAGAUAUUGUGGCGAGAGGUUCGGCUUCUACCCAUUUUGUGAAGUACUCUACUGCUACAGCAACAAACUUUAAUUGACCUCUUGCCACAGGAAAGGGGCCGAGGAUGUCAACUCCCCAUUGUUCAAACGGGGUUGAAUAGUUAAUGUUGGUGAGGUCUUCGGCUGGUGAGUGGAUAACAUUACUAAACCUUUGGCACUUAUCACAAUUUUUAACAUAUUCUGAGGCGUCUUUUUUCAUAGUUGGCCAGUAGUAUCCAUAUCGUACGAGUUUAAAGGCCAAGGCCUUGGCUCCUUGAUGAUUCCCGCACACACCUUCAUGAACUUCAGCAAGGGCCUGGGAUGAUUCUGAUGGCCUGAGACACCUUAGGUACGGAAGAGUAAUACUUCUGCGGAAAAGGACACCGCUGAUCAUGCAGUACCUAGGAGCUCGGGCUCUGAUGCUUCUGGCCAACCUGGCAUCGCUUGGUAGACUUCCGUUUGUGAUGAACUCUAUGAUUGGGUCCAUCCAGGAUGGUUC
RNAcentral lists this long non-coding RNA (1025 nucleotides) under Olea europaea subsp. europaea. The record is from RNAcentral. Lineage: Eukaryota; Viridiplantae; Streptophyta; Magnoliopsida; Lamiales; Oleaceae.